UUGAACGCUGGCGGCAUGCUUUACACAUGCAAGUCGAACGGUAACAGGCCUUCGGGUGCUGACGAGUGGCGAACGGGUGAGUAAUGCAUCGGAACGUGCCCAAUCGUGGGGGAUAACACAUCGAAAGAUGUGCUAAUACCGCAUACGACCUGAGGGUGAAAGCAGGGGAUCGCAAGACCUUGCGCGACAGGAGCGGCCGAUAUCGGAUUAGCUAGUUGGUGAGGUAAAGGCUCACCAAGGCGACGAUCCGUAGCUGGUCUGAGAGGACGACCAGCCACACUGGAACUGAGACACGGUCCAGACUCCUACGGGAGGCAGCAGUGGGGAAUUUUGGACAAUGGGGGCAACCCUGAUCCAGCCAUUCCGCGUGAGUGAAGAAGGCCUUCGGGUUGUAAAACUCUUUCGGCAGGAACGAAACGGUGAGCUCUAACAUAGCUUGCUAAUGACGGUACCUGAAGAAGAAGCACCGGCUAACUACGU
Molecule: ribosomal RNA, 480 nt
Filed under: uncultured bacterium
Lineage: Bacteria
Description: bacterial SSU rRNA
Rfam family: Bacterial small subunit ribosomal RNA
Source: RNAcentral